This 244-nucleotide ribosomal RNA is filed under the name uncultured Pseudobdellovibrionaceae bacterium. Its description in RNAcentral is "uncultured Bdellovibrionaceae bacterium partial 16S ribosomal RNA". It matches the Rfam family "Bacterial small subunit ribosomal RNA", at positions 519 to 762 of the family's 1533-position model. Lineage: Bacteria; Pseudomonadati; Bdellovibrionota; Bdellovibrionia; Bdellovibrionales; Pseudobdellovibrionaceae. The record is from RNAcentral.
GGUAAGACGAGGGAUCCUAGCGUUGUUCGGAAUUAUUGGGCGUAAAGCGGGUGCAGGUGGCUAUGUAAGUCAGGUGUGAAAGCCCAGGGCUCAACCCUAGAAGUGCAUUUGAUACUGCGUAGCUUGAGUGCUAGAGAGGAUAGUAGAAUUCCUGGUGUAGUGGUGAAAUACGUAGAUAUCAGGAGGAAUACCGGCGGCGAAGGCGGCUAUCUGGCUAGACACUGACACUCAGACCCGAAAGCGU